UACGUAGAGGGCAAGCGUUGUCCGGAUUUAUUGGGCGUAAAGAGCGUGUAGGCGGUCUGGUAGGUCCGUUGUGAAAACUCGAGGCUCAACCUCGAGACGCCGAUGGAAACCAUCAGACUAGAGUCCGGAAGAGGAGAGUGGAAUUCCUGGUGUAGCGGUGAAAUGCGCAGAUAUCAGGAAGAACACCCGUGGCUAAGGCGGCUCUCUAGUACGGUACUGACGCUGAGACGCGAAAGCGUGGGGAGCGAACAGG
RNAcentral lists this ribosomal RNA (253 nucleotides) under uncultured bacterium. Its description in RNAcentral is "partial 16S ribosomal RNA". It matches the Rfam family "Bacterial small subunit ribosomal RNA", at positions 524 to 776 of the family's 1533-position model. The record is from RNAcentral.